CUGCUCACUGCUGUGCAGAGGCCGAGGUAAUGCGUGGGGGGCCAGCUGUGUCCGGAUUGCUUGGGCGUAAAGAGCGUGGAGGUGGCUUUGCAAGUCCUUUGUGAAAACGCGAGGCUCAACCGCGAGACGCCUGUGGAAACUGCAAAGCUAGAGUCCGGAAGGGGAGAGUGGAAUUCCUGGUGUAGCGGUGAAAUGCGCAGAUAUCAGGAGGAACACCCGUGGCGAAGGCGGCUCUCUGGGACGGUACUGACGCUGAGACGCGAAAGCGUGGGGAGCGAACAGGAUUAGAUACCCUAGAGUC
This 301-nucleotide ribosomal RNA is filed under the name uncultured Bacillus sp. RNAcentral's name for it is "bacterial SSU rRNA". It matches the Rfam family "Bacterial small subunit ribosomal RNA", at positions 494 to 795 of the family's 1533-position model. Lineage: Bacteria; Bacillati; Bacillota; Bacilli; Caryophanales; Bacillaceae. The record is from RNAcentral.